Hippopotamus amphibius kiboko is the source of this 106-nucleotide small nuclear RNA. Lineage: Eukaryota; Metazoa; Chordata; Mammalia; Artiodactyla; Hippopotamidae. The record is from RefSeq and is a predicted model, not a curated record.
GUGCUCGCUUCAGCAGCACAGGUACUAAAACUGGAACAACGUCAAGAAGAUAGCAUGGCCCCCGCGUAACAAUGACGUGCAAAUUCCUCAGGUGUUCCAUAUUUUU